This 2652-nucleotide long non-coding RNA is filed under the name Mytilus galloprovincialis (Mediterranean mussel). The record is from RNAcentral. Lineage: Eukaryota; Metazoa; Mollusca; Bivalvia; Mytilida; Mytilidae.
CUCGAUUCGGUUACAGUACGUCACGCCACCACGUGUAAAUAGAGUGUUGUGUUAUGGAAUGUAAAUAAAUAUGUCAUCCGAGUACUAGAUCAUGAGAGUACUAGAUCGUGAAGUAAUGUGACUUUUCAGUUUGACUCUAUAAGAGUUUUACAAUCUUUUGGAGGAACCAUGAUAGGUGAGUAAGAACUUGUGUAUUACCUAUAUUCAACAUUUUAUUCAUUUUUGACUCACUGGGUACAUUAACAAAGUAACCCGUUAUAUAUUUAGUUCGAAUAUCUUUCAAUUCAUUACAGCAGAAAAUAUAAUGGAAUUCGUUUCCAACAACUUGUUUACAGAGAUUGCACAAUCUUUCAUUCCUUGGUAUACCAGCCCAACGUCCCGUCUCUAUCGGAAAUUUGAGAUUGCAUGUUCUCAGUUUACAUAUAUAGUUUCUAUUUACAGGAUUUAACCUUAAAAGAUAAUCUUCUAAUUCAAACUCUGUCUUAAAUUUAGAAUAAUAUUCCCCUCGUGAAGAAUUAGACACAUCUGAAAACCACUUUUGUAUAAAUUGAUCGUGCAAUCUCUGUCGUACAACAUUUUUUAAAAAUUCAGGAUUUACAUAUUCUUGGUUAUUCCAUAUUUCACUAUAACCCGUUUCAUCAAAUAUGGAUUUAAUAUAAUUAAUCCAGAGCAUAUUUCUAUUGCCAUUUUCAUUUAAUUUGAAAAGUAAUUUGUACAUUUUACCAGAUAAUUUGUCUGUAUUUCCAACUAGUUUGUUCCAGAAACACAGCAUUUUUAAUUUUUAUCUGUAUUUCUAAAGGGUAUCGCCCAAGUUCUCCAUACACCAUAAAAGUAGGCGUACUUGAUCUAAUUCCUAAAAUUUUCUUACAGAACUGUAAGUGUAUUUUUUCUAUAAUGUUCUUAUUUUCAAAACCCCAAAUCUCAGAUGAAUAUGUCAAUAUAGGAGACACCAAUACAUCAAAAAGUUUUAGUUGCAAAUCUAUAGGUAUACUAAUAUUACGAAUUUUCGUGUACAAUGAGUAUAGUGAUUUCUGUGCUUGUUCCACAAGUUUUUUCCUUAAUAUGAAUAUGACAGUUCUUGUCCAUUCGUUUUUUAUGCGUUUUGUUAUUUGAUUUUGCCAUGUGAUUAUGGACUUCCGAAUUGAUUUUCCUCUAAGUUCAGUAUUUUUGUGAUUUUACUUUUUUCUGUACGAAGUCAGGAGUAUGACAGUCGUUGUCCAUUCUUUUGACGUAUUUGAGCUUUUGGUUUGCUAAAAGACUUUUCGUUUAGAAUAUUUAUCGGAGUUCGGAAUUUUUGUUAUGUUAUUUUUUACUUGUUCAACAUAAAGUCGAUAUUUUGAUAUAACACCUUAUGUUUCAUAAGGUUGGUGGUCAGCCAUUCAUUUUCUACUAAGGGUUUUUUCGACGCCUUUUUUCAUCCUAUGUUUGGAUUAAGGUAAUUUUUGUUAUCUUUUCGACUUGAACUUUUGUUCAUAUGAGUACGGGGCUAAGAGUUCAUCUCGGGUUUGUUGUGAGUUCGUGUUCAUUCUUUAGCUAUUUCUGUAUGGUAAUACAAACAAGAUAAGGCCGUUAGAUUUCUCGUUUAAAUUGUUUCACAUUGCCAUUUCGGGCCCGGUUAUAUCUGACUAUGCGGUAUGGGCUUUGCUCAUUAUUGAAGGCCGUACUGUGACUUACAGCUGUUAAUUACUGUGUCAUUUUGGUCUCUUGUGGAGAGUUGUAUAAUUGGCAAUCAUACCACAUCUUCUUUUUUUAAAGAAUUAUUGUCUGUCUUGUUGUAGUCGUGUUAACUUUGCAUUUGAAUUAGAAACAAACACGUUGUAUAUGCAUAUGGUUCUUUUUUGCAUAAGAGUAGUAAAUAUAAAAAAAAAAACACUUCAACAUUUACAUUUUAUCUUUUUCAUCAUGGUACUGUCUCUUGUUUCUGUUAUUGACUUUUGACGAAGAAUGAAAAGUCAGUACACUAUCCCUGAUUUAAUUAUUAAUUAUUUGUUAUUUAGAGACGGAUCGAGAAAUAUAUUUUCCUGUUUUUCAACAAUAUUGCAUGUCAGAUCUAAACAAUGUCUAUUUCGUUUAAGCCCUGAUAUUGAUUUACAUUUUCUAACCUGUCGUAAAAUUAAUUCUUACUGCAUAUCUAUCUCCGAAUGUGUCAAUUUUGAAACAAAUUCUAUGAUAAAGCAUGAACUGUAUGUCUGGGUACAUAUCAGUUUCCACGUCAACAGGAAAGACUUCCGUUUAAUUUUCACAAAAACAAUAACAGUACUGUUUUCUAAGUUUUUCAAUGAAUAAUUGCAAAAAUAAUAUCAAUGCUGUCUUAAAUUUCAUAGAGUACAAAUAGGGUGCAUGUUAAAAACAGCGGGUUUAUGAAUUUACUUUUAAUAUCUUCAAAUGUUUGGUUGAUUCAUGAAUGUUAAGCAAUAAAAUACACAUGUAAUGUUUUCUUUCCUUUCUUACGUUAUCAAAAUGUCUUUUUACAAGCAGUUGUAAAUGAAUAGAUUUAGCAUCUACCAUUUGAAAAUAGUCAAAACAUGUUACUUUCAUUUUCAGCCAUCAAAAACAGGAGACGAUGACAGGGGAACUAAGUAGUUGCUUCCAUUUCAUUAUUUGGAAAAAAAGAAAAUUGUUGAAAGCAAUAAAUAAAUAAAAAAGGAAAGC